Triticum aestivum (bread wheat) is the source of this 151-nucleotide non-coding RNA. The record is from Rfam. Lineage: Eukaryota; Viridiplantae; Streptophyta; Magnoliopsida; Poales; Poaceae.
UAUAUUUAGAUGAUAUGAGAAGAGGUCCUAAGUGUAGUGGGCAUGGGAACAUGAUGGAAGGCUAAGUCUCUCUGAAAGAGACUUUGGUUGAGUUUUCCCGAUGCUUCCCAUGACUAUUGUUCUUUGGUGCUCCUUCCUCUUCCUUUUUGGU